Molecule: long non-coding RNA, 1036 nt
Filed under: Brachypodium distachyon (stiff brome)
Lineage: Eukaryota; Viridiplantae; Streptophyta; Magnoliopsida; Poales; Poaceae
Description: long non-coding RNA (BDIS_LNC000860)
Source: RNAcentral
CCUCGUAACAUCCCUACUUCACAUCUUCCGGGACGUCGCUCCAUCUUUGAUAGAUCCUAGCGCGUACCCUUACGAUGGCGUUGCAUGCGUUCGAGAAUCUUUCUGCAGCCUCCACCGGUUCCUCCGGGUAGCUUUCUUUAUUUAGCUUGGUGACGACUCACGACUCCGUCGGCACCUUGUUCGCACCCCCCGCUUGGACUUCGACUAAGUAGCCGACUCCGUAGCCUGAGACAUCGCACCCUCGGCUUCUUCCUCGUUACCUGCUCCUUCAAGGAGCUGCUGCUCCUCGGCUCCUUCAAGGAAUAGUUGCUCCUCGGCUCCUUCUUCGCCGUGCUCAAAGCCAUCGCUCAUGGCAAUUUCCGAGUCCGAGGAAGAUGCCCCCGCUCCUUCUUCGACUUCUCCCUCCAAAACCGGCGGCUGCUCAGGCGCCUCUUCAACGCAAGCCUGAGGUUCCUAUCCAACACUUAAAAAAGUAAUUUUAAAAAAAUGGAAAAAUUCGACAUGACCUAUGCUGUAAAAUAGGAAAAAUUCGGCAUGACCAUUGCUGUAAAACAACAAAUGAGUCUACCCGAAAUUUAUACCUGCAUAAAAAAAAACUCCCACCCACAUAUACCCCCUCGGCACGAUGGCCGGACCCUUCUCAAUGACCCGGCACGAUGGCCGGGCCCACAUUCCUCAUAUCAACCGACACGAUGGUCGGGAUCACAUGCACCAACAACAACAUAUUUAUCAAAUAAGCAUCAAAUUAGCUUAAGCACCAGCAAGUUAACCUAACUAGCAGCAACAUAUACUAAUAAGUGAACAAAAAUAACCACUUAUAAGUUAUAUAACAAAAAAUUAAUUAAUUAACUAAACGAACAUCAAAUUAACCCUAAACAGCAAAUUAACCCUAAGAUUCAAAUUAACAGCCACCCUAAACAGCAAAUGAACCCUAAGAUUCAAAUUAAACAUGAGAUUCAAACCCUAAGAUAAAAAAAAAACUUACCUCGGCAGUGGCAAUGGCGGCAGCGGCGUCAUCGACGGCCGGGGUCGGGGC